CAAGCGUUGACAGAUCACUUGGGAGACUAGUGAAUGAUGAGCAGAAACCCAAUGCAAAGAUGAAAAAGAAGUGGAUGGUAUGCCCCAUCUUUUGGCCAUUAUGGAUGGAAGGGAAUUUCGAGAGAUUACUUAUGACUAUGGAGGUGUUGACUUGCCAUGACAUUCCUGCCAUGGACAGGAAAUGCCCAAGCCCAUGGCUCCAGCUACAGUCCAGGACCAAGUCAUCUCUCCCGCUGCCCCUCCUGAAGAGUGGAUAACAGAGGUAAAUGCACAUCUGCAAGAACACCAUGGAUGAAAGCUGAGGUCAACGCUGUGAUGUGACGCUUCAAUCUCAUAUCAUGAAGGGUCACUUGGCAUCUAGAGGGAAUGUGAGGUGUGCAAAAAGUGUG
Xyrauchen texanus (razorback sucker) is the source of this 389-nucleotide long non-coding RNA. RefSeq lists it as uncharacterized. The transcript has 3 exons. The record is from RefSeq and is a predicted model, not a curated record. Lineage: Eukaryota; Metazoa; Chordata; Actinopteri; Cypriniformes; Catostomidae.